Molecule: long non-coding RNA, 620 nt
Organism: Cryptomeria japonica (Japanese cedar)
Lineage: Eukaryota; Viridiplantae; Streptophyta; Pinopsida; Cupressales; Cupressaceae
Exons: 5
Source: RefSeq, a predicted model, not a curated record
GCCAUGCCUCUGUUUUGAGUUUUGCUUGUAAGCUUUGAUUUUGAAUUUUCAUUAUGUGUUUUUAUUUUCUGAUCUUUCCUCCUCCUGUUUGUAUUCUAUGUUUUCAUUUGUUUACUGCGUUUGAAUUCUUUUAUUUUUCAAAAAAUUUCUUGGUAUUCUGCGUAUUUUAGUUCUGUUGGUGGUGAUUUUUUAAUGGCGCAUGGAGGCAGGCAACUGCAGCAAGGAGAACUAUACAUUCGACCCAGUGAUUAAUUGGAGAUGCAGCCCCAAAAUACUUGGAUACAGUAUAAGCACUGGUAAUGAUAAGGAAAAGGAGAAAAAUAAGCACUGGCAAUGAUGAGGAGGAGGAGAAGAAAAGAAUCAGAAUUACAUAUGACAAUUAUUAGGAAUUACAUCAGGGUACAGUAUAAGCACUGGUAAUGAUAAGGAAAAGGAGAAAAAUAAGCACUGUCAAGGAUGAGGAGGAGGAGAAAAGAAUCAGAAUUACAUGUGACAAUUAUCAGGAAUUACACCAGUUGCAAGGAAGGAUCAAAAGGAUAACCAAUGGAUUCAACAUCAAGCUCGAUAAACCAGGUGAAACCAGAGUUGCGCAAUUGAAGUCUCAUUUUGUGCAAUUGGAG